AGUUGAGCUUGCGCACGCUGUGCAGCUCCGAGGCCUUGGCCCGGGUCAGAACCAUCUUCCGCGUCAGCUUCAUGGCGGCCGCCCAGGCCCGACCGGCGGGCGCCCCCGGCCUCCUGAUCCCGGGCGGGUGACGACUGCGCGGCGCGUGUCUCCAGGGGCGGGGCCCGCGUCGUCAGGGGCGGAUCCUGAGCCGAUUGGCGGCUCGGUGAGGAGAGCGGGGCGACGCGAGCCCGCUGGGGCCGCUUGGGCGCCGCUGACACGUUGGCUCUGCUCCUGCUCAUGCGCGGCCUGGGGCGCCCUUCUCUGACGCGAUUCUAACGCGACCCCGGAAGCGCGCAGCGAGCAGAGGACCCUGCAUUCAGAUGCAGCAGAUGACACCACCCAAACGGAUAAUCUGGCUCAACCAUGUGUGUGAUCCCACCCAGGGACAGAAGUCAGCCAGAACUCAUUUUGACCCCCUAUGAUUUAAUCUUCGACCUGACCAAUCAGCACUCACCACUUUCUGAGCCCAUACCCGCCAAAUUAUCCUUAAAAACACGGAUCCCCGAAUGCUUGGGGAGACUGAUUUGAGUGAUAAUAAAACUCUGCUCUCCUGCACAGCCAGC
This 605-nucleotide long non-coding RNA is filed under the name Homo sapiens (human). RNAcentral describes it as "HSALNT0274444". The record is from RNAcentral. Lineage: Eukaryota; Metazoa; Chordata; Mammalia; Primates; Hominidae.